Molecule: long non-coding RNA, 179 nt
Organism: Thalassophryne amazonica
Lineage: Eukaryota; Metazoa; Chordata; Actinopteri; Batrachoidiformes; Batrachoididae
Exons: 3
Source: RefSeq, a predicted model, not a curated record
UCACUAGGGUUUGCUCCAGCUUUAGGAGAUGGAUAAGAGCCUGAAGCUAAAGGGCGGAUCCACUCCUUACUGUUGAGGUCAAGUCGCCAUAGAUCAUUGAAGGCAGCAUUGCAACUACUCUGAGUGCAACCCCCAAACACGUACAUGGACUGGUUUGAAUCAUAAUAGCAUGCACCUGC